This 1363-nucleotide long non-coding RNA is filed under the name Panax ginseng (ginseng). RNAcentral describes it as "long non-coding RNA (PGIN_LNC000932)". The record is from RNAcentral. Lineage: Eukaryota; Viridiplantae; Streptophyta; Magnoliopsida; Apiales; Araliaceae.
CAAAUCUACAACGUUUUUUUCUUAAAAUCGUUGUGUAAUGUACUUAACUAUAACGUUUUAAAAACGUUGUGUAAGGGUGUCAAAUAGAUAACACCCUUAACCACGACGUUUUUCUGACUGAAACUACAACGUUUUUUCCGCGUUAUCUAUUUAUUGUUUUGUAGUAGUGUAAAAAUAAAGUUAUUCCUAAGGACCUCUGGGUAGCAUAUAUAUAUAUAUAUGCACUGAGAAAACACUACAAAGCAUUAUAGUUCAAGCAACUUAAUCAUUGGAAAAUAAUACCACAAUUAUGCAUCAACAAUUAACGAAAAUUAAAUAUAAAACUGAGAUAAAUUAUUCAAGAUUUUCAUGCCAGAUGAGUAAGGAGAACACACUACCCUUUGUCCAAAAAUGAAUCUUUUUUACAUUUUUUCUGUCCCACGAUUAGAGUCUAAUUCGCAGUUAACUAAAAAUUGACGUAUCAAUCUCAAUAUUGUUAUUUUAAAAGUGAAAAUAACAACUGUUCUUAAAAUAUAUUCAUAGACUAAAUAAAAGAAGAAACUAAAACAAACAAAUUCACAUUUACUUGAGCAAAUGUUACUAAUUGGUCAAAUGUCAACCAAAACCCAACAUUCAAAUUAACAACCCAGAAGAGAAAAAUGAACAAAUCCUAGAUAACAAAUUCGACCCAUCAUGCUAAUUAAAAAAAAAUAAAAAAUCGACCCAUCGACAGCUGAAUUAAAUUGCAUACAUACAUCGAGUUCAAGUAGAAUCCACUCCUUAGUAUUUGUGCCAGUAGACCAAUGACUCCGAAGAUCUGUCUAGAAUAUGUGCGCCCUUUUUGAGAAGGUGAUUCUCGAGACAUACCCUUCUUUUUGUAAGGCAAAUAUUUCACCCUUGGCUCCAGCUCUACCUCCAUUUCCUCUUUUUUUUUUUCUCUCUACAAUCUCUCUCUAUAUAUAUGUAUAGAUAUAAAUAGUGUGUAUGUAGAAGGGUUCAGGUGUUGGAUUGAAUAUUCCAACUGGUUCCAUCUUGCAUAGCUCCUAAUCUAGUUGAUGAGGAUCUGCAGAUUUGUGACUUCUAGGUUUGUGAUAACGGAGCUUUAAGAUAUCUGAAACUUGAAACCAAAGGAUGGAAAGAAUCGGAAAUCCGGAAAAGGAAUCGACUGAAAGUGGAAGAAGAGGAAGAGGUGAGAAGUAAACCGAAGAUGAAGCAGAGGAAAAUAAAUUGGAAAGGAAUCGAAUGAGGAUUAAUUGAGGAGAUGGAAGAGAAGGAAGGGGAAGAGGCGAUAUGAGAGGAGAAAUAAUCGAGUUAACUCUUAAUUAAUUAAGAGUUGACUUAGUGAAUUUUUCAAUUGAUAGCUGAGUUUUCUAAUUAAUUAAAA